UGUGUUGCUCCUUGUGGCAGGUAUACUGUUCCAAUGCCCUGGGAUCUCUGUAGUGGUCGGUACUGUAUUGAUUAUAAAUGGUGAAGUCCUAGUAUCUUGCUAGAGUGAGCUGGCCAGGAUGGUGGAGCUCUACCACCAUUUCACAGGUUAUAGACAGGGGCCCCCAGGUUUCAGGAAAGCAGCAAUGACCCCUCAGUAAUAGUUGGAAAGUGUGAUAUGACACUGAGCUUCACUGUGUUGGUGAAGAAGAGGUGAGGAAAAUAAAAGUUGCAGUUUGCCUCCACCUCUGAAGAAGCACAAUAUACCUUUCUGGGUUACCCAUGGGAUACUUCCCAACAGCUUUGUCAUCACAUACAAUAUUUGCAAACAAGAUCUUAAUGGCAUCCACUUUCUCCAGGAACACAGCCCCUGACAUGUGCGUGUUUGCGUAGAGAAGGCAUGCUAUGUACCCCCUAGGAUACGAAAGAGAGGAUCCAUUUGCUUCAAAGAGCCCAUCAGCAAGCUGUCCUUCCUGUUUUAUCACAAGAUUUCUGUAGCAGAUUGAGCUCUGGCAGUUGAUCUCAGUGGCUUGAUAGAGUGUCAUUAUAAAAACGCACCUGGAAGAUUCUGUGGAAAAGACAACCUCAGAAGACCAAGAGGCUGACUUUGCAAGAGAGAGUCCGUUUACCACUUAGAACCGUGAACACCACCCCCGCCCUCAUUUAUCUCCAGACUUGAACUAGUGGUUAAAUCCCAACAUGUCCCAGAGAAGUCAAAUGCACUGUAAAAUCUGGGAAUCUGCCCACCACUCAAGCCUGGGAAAGCUGGCAGAGGAUGCACGUGUUUUACUCACCUGAGUGUUCACAAUGCUUGUGAGGUGCCUCCCUGAUAUUUUUAUAGCAGAAUGGAGAAACACAACCAAGGAGAUACACCUAAGUAACAAUAGCAAUGAUGUCAAAAAGAGUGCCUGAAUACUUAGGAUGGAGGUCCUGGACAUGCAAACCCAAGCCUCCUCUUUGCUGUGGCCAGGAAUCUGCAGUGAUUGAGAGCACAGACUGUAUCUAAAAUUCCACCUUUCAAAGUUCAGCAUAUUACUUUUUUUUUUUCUUACACCUAUAGGUACAGAGGAAUGAAGAAGGAAUAAACAGACCUUCUGGAUAAUUGCAUCAGUCUUCCCCACUAUUCCAAUGCCAUGCUAACAUUUCAAGUAAUGUACCUUUUGUCUUGCUGAGAAAAAAUCAUUUCAUGAUUUAUUACACUGGAUUAAAGGCUAUGCACACUCUGGAGUUGGAACAUGACUGAAGGGCAAGCAAGCAUAAAGGAUAUCAGAAACAGUUGGUGUGUUUAAAUUUUUCUGAAUUUCUCAAGUAAACUUUUUAGAAAGUAGUCUGAAGAUAAAAUGGUUAUAUAAGUUACUUAAACUGUAGAUGAUGGCACCUUUAUCCCUAUAUAAUAGAAUUAAGAUAACUCUUCUGGGCACUUUAUUUGGAAUCAAUUAUUUAAUCCUCAUAACAACCCCAUGAAGAUCAUACUAUUACCAUCCAAAGUUUACUGAGGAAGAUACUGAGGCAAGAUUUACAAUCCAAAGCAGAGUGGGAGGAAGAGACCUACAAGACCAUGUUUCAUUGGAUAGCUUUGGAGUAAUAUCUAUAAUUUUAGAAAAAAGUUAAGAGGAAGAAGAAACUGGUGUCAGCUAGACUUAGAAGAUUUUACAACAGAGACUGGCUUCCAUUCACUGAUCAGACAUUCACUGAUUUUUAAUUCUUACCACCAGAGAAAAAGUUGUUAUGAUGAGGGUCCUCAGGAAAGACAAUACAGUCAGCCGAGAAAUACAAUUUUCUUUGUCUACUGUUGUUUCCUUUAUACAGACCACUGAAAUAUAUACUUAACCACCAGCAAAACUCAUAUUAAACACAAGUAAAAAAAAUCACUACAUGCAAAAGAGUGAACACCAGGCAAAGUGGUAAUUUAUGAAUUUCCAGGAUUUUUGUUGUAAUUUACCCGUGUAAGUUUACAAUAAAUGAUUGAUGUAACUAAA
RNAcentral lists this long non-coding RNA (2017 nucleotides) under Pan troglodytes (chimpanzee). RNAcentral describes it as "lincRNA". Lineage: Eukaryota; Metazoa; Chordata; Mammalia; Primates; Hominidae. The record is from RNAcentral.